RNAcentral lists this transfer RNA (67 nucleotides) under Sternolophus rufipes. RNAcentral's name for it is "tRNA-Asp". The record is from RNAcentral. Lineage: Eukaryota; Metazoa; Arthropoda; Insecta; Coleoptera; Hydrophilidae.
AAAAGUUUAGUUAACAAUAUAACGUUAGUUUGUCAAACUAAAAUAAUUAAUUCAUUAAUAACUUUUA